Molecule: long non-coding RNA, 620 nt
Filed under: Homo sapiens (human)
Lineage: Eukaryota; Metazoa; Chordata; Mammalia; Primates; Hominidae
Description: novel transcript, antisense to KCNJ4
Source: RNAcentral
GAGGAACCAGUCAUCCUCUCUCUCCAGCCCCUCUCAGGGAAUUUCUGCCAACUCCAUGCCAGGCGCUGCCUCCUCUCUCUCAUUGAAGCAUCACUGUAUCCUUUGUGUAUUUAACAACAUAUCCUCUUUGAACCUCAGUUUUCUCAUCUGCAAACUGGAGAUGACGAUACUGGUACCUUCCUCACCAGGCCGCUGCUGAAUGAACAUGACAACCACCAUGCGUUAUUACAUUGCAGAUGCAGCAUCCCAGAGCCUGCCUGGGCCCCAUCCACAGGGCCCUGCCCAGUUUGUCUUCAUUCACUGCACUAGGGAGCUGGUGGGCAAGAAGAGCAGCCUCGGUGCUGUUCCACACAGAGCUGGGCUGGAACCAAGCCGAGUCCCACUUGGCUCUAGCAGGUCACUGGAUUCUCUGAGCCUCGGUAUCUCCAAUGGUGAAAGGAGCAUCGCAGUGCCUACCUGCAGGGCCUGAUGUGGAUUGUCCCAAAAGCGCAUGCCACAUGGUGGGGGCUCAAGAAAGCUGUCCCCCUCCCCACCUUCUUCUGGACCACGAAAUCCUGUGGUACACCUAGCCCCUCCCUCACCAGGCAGCCCUCUGACAUCGCAAAAAUUCAGGCUGAGCA